Molecule: ribosomal RNA, 789 nt
Filed under: uncultured bacterium
Lineage: Bacteria
Description: bacterial SSU rRNA
Rfam family: Bacterial small subunit ribosomal RNA
Source: RNAcentral
GAGUUUGAUCCUGGCUCAGAAUCAACGCUGGCGGCGUGCCUAACACAUGCAAGUCGAACGAGAAAGGGAUUUCGGUCCUGAGUAUAGUGGCGCACGGGUGAGUAACACGUGACUAAUCUACCCUCGAGUGGGGAAUAACUGGAAGAAAUUUCAGCUAAUACCGCAUAACACUUACGAGUCAAAGCAAGCAAUUGCGCUUGGGGAGGAGGUCGCGGCAGAUUAGCUAGUUGGCGGGGUAAUGGCCCACCAAGGCGAUGAUCUGUAUCCGGCCUGAGAGGGCGCACGGACACACUGGAACUGAAACACGGUCCAGACUCCUACGGGAGGCAGCAGUGGGGAAUUUUGCGCAAUGGGGGAAACCCUGACGCAGCAACGCCGCGUGGAGGAUGAAGUAUCUUGGUACGUAAACUCCUUUCGAUGGGGAAGAUAAUGACGGUACCCAUAGAAGAAGCCCCGGCUAACUUCGUGCCAGCAGCCGCGGUAAUACGAGGGGGGCAAGCGUUGUUCGGAUUUAUUGGGCGUAAAGGGUGCGUAGGCGGUUUGAUAAGUCUUCUGUGAAAUCUAUGGGCUCAACCUAUAGUCUGCAUGAGAAACUGUCGGGCUUGAGUAUUGGAGAGGUGAGUGGAAUUUCCGGUGUAGCGGUGAAAUGCGUAGAUAUCGGGAAGGAACACCUGUGGCGAAAGCGGCUCACUGGACAAUAACUGACGCUGAGGCACGAAAGCUAGGGGAGCAAACAGGAUUUAGAUACCCUGGUAGUCCUAGCCCUAAACGAUGAUUGCUUGGUGUGGC